Non-coding RNA from Heterocephalus glaber (naked mole-rat), 829 nucleotides. NCBI's taxonomy places the organism in Eukaryota, Metazoa, Chordata, Mammalia, Rodentia, Bathyergidae. The record is from RefSeq and is a predicted model, not a curated record.
GAGGUUGUAUGCUGGGCGGUACCUUUUAUAGCAAGCUGCCCUUGGGAGGCGGGACGCUCAGAGCGAGCGAAAAGCCAAUCCACAGCGGAGGAAGGCGGGGCCUGGAGGCCGUGCCUGACCAAUCCCGAGCAGAUGGGAGCUCACCCCCCCCCCCGGAGGUGGAGAAAUCACGCGCCUGAAGCGCGAGGCUGUUGGGAAAUGGGGAAUUGGGGGGUAGAGUUGAGAUUCUGGGGCUGAUUUGGGGAAGUCAGAGGGCUAGGGGGAGGGUUCUUGGGGGGUGAGGGAUAUAUGGGGACGCUGGGGGCCGUGGAAAAUAAUGACUAUGAGGUCUUUGGGGGGGAUCUCAAGAAAGCAAGCGAGCUUCUCUGGAAGCCUCUCCGGGAGGCCAGCACCUUCCAGGGCUGCUCCAGCUCGUCUCCAGGGAAGUCCCAUCCUCUCGGUCUCCUCUCCUGGCCCUUGGGUCCCAGCCCUUGACCUGGGCUCACCUCGCCCAGCUAGAGCCCACUGCAGGUCCUCCCCACCUCCUGCACCUUGGUGGGCCAGGGAGGCUGCUCUGGGCCUGCCGCCCACACCCCUUGCCCCAGCACACGGCGUGGGCCUGGGCUGCAACAGGUAGGAUGAUGUGCUUGGGGCUCUGGGAGACAGGGCUAGGACGGAGCGCUCCUUAAUCCAGACAGCACUGGGCACCCCAGAAAAAGACGGGCGAGUGCUCCAGGUCUCCAAGGUAUCAGGUGAGCAAGCUACGGGGCCAGUGACUGACUCCACACUGUGGCUCAGGAAGGUUUAUUGCCCCAGCCCCCCCGCAGGCCACACUUCCCUCCCUUCCCAA